This 187-nucleotide unclassified non-coding RNA is filed under the name Glomus sp. RNAcentral's name for it is "partial contains 5.8S ribosomal RNA and internal transcribed spacer 2". The stretch from base 1 to 71 matches the Rfam family "5.8S ribosomal RNA", at positions 84 to 154 of the family's 154-position model. The record is from RNAcentral. Lineage: Eukaryota; Fungi; Glomeromycota; Glomeromycetes; Glomerales; Glomeraceae.
GUGAAUCAUCAAAUUUUUGAACGCAAAUUGCACUUUCUGGUAUUCCGGAGAGUAUGCCUGUUUGAGGAUCAGUUAAAUAAAAAUCGGUAUGGUUUCUGCCUUUCAUUGUUGCGGGUCGGAAGUAGGUCCUCUUACCUUCGGUUACGUUACUUAAAAUUUUUUCAUUAUUUUCGAUCGUAUUUAAAUC